GACGAACGCUGGCGGCGUGCUUAACACAUGCAAGUCGAACGGAAAGGCCCUGCUUUUGUGGGGUGCUCGAGUGGCGAACGGGUGAGUAACACGUGAGUAACCUGCCCUUGACUUCGGGAUAACUUCAGGAAACUGGGGCUAAUACCGGAUAGGAGCUCCUGCUGCAUGGUGGGGGUUGGAAAGUUUCGGCGGUUGGGGAUGGAUUCGCGGCUCAUCAGCUUGUUGGUGGGGUAGUGGCUUACCAAGGCUUUGACGGGUAGCCGGCCUGGGGGGGUGACCGGCCACAUUGGGACGGAGAUACGGCCCAGACCCCGACGGGAGGCAGCAGGGGGGAAUAUUGCAAAAGGGGCGGAAGCCGGAGGCAGCAACGCCGCGUGCGGGAUGACGGCCUUCGGUUGGUAAACCGCUUUCGCCGGUGACGAAGCGUGAGUGACGGUAAUGGGUAAAGAAGCACCGGCUAACUACGUG
Molecule: ribosomal RNA, 468 nt
Filed under: uncultured bacterium
Lineage: Bacteria
Description: partial 16S ribosomal RNA
Rfam family: Bacterial small subunit ribosomal RNA
Source: RNAcentral